Plasmodium falciparum Dd2 is the source of this 106-nucleotide small nucleolar RNA. It matches the Rfam family "small nucleolar RNA snoR13". The record is from Rfam. NCBI's taxonomy places the organism in Eukaryota, Apicomplexa, Aconoidasida, Haemosporida, Plasmodiidae.
UUGUGAAUGAUGAAAAAAGUUCUCAAAUGUUCGCAGUUGAGAGUUUUUAGAAAAAAAGCUCAAUGAAUUUUUAUUGUAGCCUUCACUUAGAUGUCUGACACAAGAA